GCCCUCUCGGUGCUUACGUUAACCCACAUGGUUAUGUACAUGAGAUAAUGACACUGUUUCAAGCAAAUGGGUUGGCUGUUAUUGGAAAUCCUGUUAAAGAAUACAGCUGGUUUCCUGGGUACGCCUGGUCAAUCGCUGAAUGCGCGACUUGUGAAACUCAGUUGGGAUGGCUUUUUACUGCUACAAAGAAGAAACUUAAACCCAGGUCAUUUUGGGGCAUUCGAAGUUCCCAAGUCGCUGAUGAUUCACGUUGAAGCUUUGGUAUUUCAUCGACCUGGUUUGUAAAUUUGAGAGCUUUUGUACUUCAAUAAUAGCUCUUUACUUCCUAAUCUGAAGUGUAGUAUUUCAUGCUCUUUAUAACAUGUUAGAACUUUG
This 375-nucleotide unclassified non-coding RNA is filed under the name Hevea brasiliensis (rubber tree). Lineage: Eukaryota; Viridiplantae; Streptophyta; Magnoliopsida; Malpighiales; Euphorbiaceae. The record is from RNAcentral.